Molecule: antisense RNA, 75 nt
Filed under: Streptomyces sp. CB02488
Lineage: Bacteria; Bacillati; Actinomycetota; Actinomycetes; Kitasatosporales; Streptomycetaceae
Description: ASpks TB sRNA
Rfam family: ASpks TB sRNA
Source: Rfam by way of RNAcentral
CUUCACCGAACCCAACCACAACGGCCGCUCUGCGGGCCGGUCCUUGCCAUAGGUGGCCAGCAGCGCCUGCGCCUC